UACAGAGAGUGCAAGCGUUAAUCGGAAUUAUUGGGCGUAAAGCGUACGUAGGUGGAUAUUUAAGUCAGAUGUGAAAUCCCUGGGCUCAACCUAGGCAUUGCAUUUGAUACUGGGUAUCUUGAGUGUGGUAGAGGGAAGUGGAACUUCCGGUGUAGCGGUGAAAUGCGUAGAUAUCGGAAAGAACACCAGUGGCGAAGGCGGCUUCCUGGACCAACACUGACACUGAGGUACGAAAGCGUGGGGAGCAAACAGGAUUAGAGACCCUGGUAGUCCACGCUGUCAACGAUGAGAACUAGCUGUUGGAAGGGUUAUCCUUUUAGUAGCGAAGCUAACGCGUUAAGUUCUCCGCCUGGGGAGUACGGCCGCAAGGUUA
Molecule: ribosomal RNA, 373 nt
Filed under: uncultured prokaryote
Description: bacterial SSU rRNA
Rfam family: Bacterial small subunit ribosomal RNA
Source: RNAcentral